This 446-nucleotide ribosomal RNA is filed under the name Moraxella nonliquefaciens. RNAcentral's name for it is "bacterial SSU rRNA". It matches the Rfam family "Bacterial small subunit ribosomal RNA", at positions 54 to 500 of the family's 1533-position model. The record is from RNAcentral. Lineage: Bacteria; Pseudomonadati; Pseudomonadota; Gammaproteobacteria; Moraxellales; Moraxellaceae.
CAUGCAAGUCGAACGAUGAAGUCUAGCUUGCUAGACGGAUUAGUGGCGAACGGGUGAGUAAUGCUUAGGAAUCUGCCUAUUAGUGGGGGAUAACGUAGGGAAACUUACGCUAAUACCGCAUACGACCUACGGGUGAAAGGGGGCUUUUAGCUCUCGCUAAUAGAUGAGCCUAAGUCGGAUUAGCUAGUUGGUGGGGUAAAGGCCUACCAAGGCGACGAUCUGUAGCUGGUCUGAGAGGAUGAUCAGCCACACUGGGACUGAGACACGGCCCAGACUCCUACGGGAGGCAGCAGUGGGGAAUAUUGGACAAUGGGCGAAAGCCUGAUCCAGCCAUGCCGCGUGUGUGAAGAAGGCCUUUUGGUUGUAAAGCACUUUAAGUGGGGAGGAAAAGCUUAUGGUUAAUACCCAUAAGCCCUGACGUUACCCACAGAAUAAGCACCGGCUAA